This 301-nucleotide ribosomal RNA is filed under the name uncultured bacterium. RNAcentral describes it as "partial 16S ribosomal RNA". It matches the Rfam family "Bacterial small subunit ribosomal RNA", at positions 509 to 807 of the family's 1533-position model. The record is from RNAcentral.
CAGUCGCCACGGUAAAACGUAGGGUGCAAGCGUUAAUCGGAAUUACUGGGCGUAAAGCGUGCGCGGGCGGUUUGUUAAGACAGAUGUGAAAUCCCCGGGCUCAACCUGGGAACUGCAUUUGUGACUGGCAAGCUAGAGUAUGGCAGAGGGGGGUGGAAUUCCGCGUGUAGCAGUGAAAUGCGUAGAUAUGCGGAGGAACACCGAUGGCGAAGGCAGCCCCCUGGGCCAAUACUGACGCUCAUGUGCGAAAGCGUGGGGAGCAAACAGGAUUAGAUACCCCAGUAGUCCCUGUCUCUUAUAC